CCUACGGGUGGCAGCAGUGGGGAAUAUUGCACAAUGGGGGAAACCCUGAUGCAGCGACGCCGCGUGAGUGAAGAAGUAAUUCGUUAUGUAAAGCUCUAUCAGCAGGGAAGAAAAUGACGGUACCUGAGUAAGAAGCCCCGGCUAACUACGUGCCAGCAGCCGCGGUAAUACGGAGGGGGCAAGCGUUAUCCGGAUGUACUGGGUGGAAAGGGAGCGUAGACGGCAGUGCAAGUCUGGAGUGAAAGGCCGGGGCUCAACCCCCGGACUGCUCUGGAAACUGUACGGCUGGAGUGCAGGAGAGGUAAGUGGAAUUCCUAGUGGAGCGGUGAAAUGCGUAGAGAUUAGGAGGAACACCAGUGGCGAAGGCGGCUUACUGGACUGUAACUGACGUUGAGGCUCGAAAGCGUGGGGAGCAAACAGGAUUAGAUACCCCAGUAGUC
RNAcentral lists this ribosomal RNA (440 nucleotides) under uncultured bacterium. RNAcentral describes it as "partial 16S ribosomal RNA". It matches the Rfam family "Bacterial small subunit ribosomal RNA", at positions 338 to 795 of the family's 1533-position model. The record is from RNAcentral.